This 288-nucleotide ribosomal RNA is filed under the name Bacillus atrophaeus. Its description in RNAcentral is "partial 16S ribosomal RNA". It matches the Rfam family "Bacterial small subunit ribosomal RNA", at positions 978 to 1267 of the family's 1533-position model. The record is from RNAcentral. Lineage: Bacteria; Bacillati; Bacillota; Bacilli; Caryophanales; Bacillaceae.
GUCUUGACAUCCUCUGACACCCCUAGAGAUAGGGCUUCCCCUUCGGGGGCAGAGUGACAGGUGGUGCAUGGUUGUCGUCAGCUCGUGUCGUGAGAUGUUGGGUUAAGUCCCGCAACGAGCGCAACCCUUGAUCUUAGUUGCCAGCAUUCAGUUGGGCACUCUAAGGUGACUGCCGGUGACAAACCGGAGGAAGGUGGGGAUGACGUCAAAUCAUCAUGCCCCUUAUGACCUGGGCUACACACGUGCUACAAUGGACAGAACAAAGGGCAGCGAGACCGCGAGGUUAAG